CACAGCCAUGACACUCCACCACAUCCACAGCAAUGCCAGAUCCUUAACCCACUGAGUGUGACCAGGGAUCGAACCCAUGUCCUCAUGGAUGCUAGUCGGCUUCAUCCACCUUCAUGGAUACUAGUUGGGUCCAUAACCCGCUGAGCCACAAUGGGAGUGCCUCAGCUGAGUUUUAAGUUUUUCCCUGUGGGAAAUCACAUUUUACAUGCUGAUGAGGGUGUGUGUAUGGCGGUAGUAAUGAUGGGUGUGGGUGUGUGUGUGUGUGUGUAGGGGUAACUUCUGAAGUCGACAUCUAAGAUAUCAAGUGUAUGUAAAACCCAAUGUAUUUAAAAGCUCUUGGAAUGGAAAUUUACAUCCCACCUUUCAGAAAAUUCAGCAGUUAGUCACUCAGCUUCUUUGGGCCCCAGAUGAAGAAGUUGGCUAUGUUAAAAUAAAACAUAUCCUUUAGCCCAGAUCCCACUUAGUGCUUUUCUCUCUAGAAGAGACUGCUGCUGCCUGAUGAAACAUCAGAUCCGUACUGUCCAUCUUAUACUCUCUUCGUGGAGUGCACUCUUUAUUUAGUUAGUUACUUUUUGUCUUUGGAGGGCUGCACCACCCACACCAUAUGGAAGUUCCUAGGUGAUGGGUCACAUCGGAGAUGUAGCUGCUGACCAACCCCUCAGCCGGAGCAACACCAGAUCCGAUUAAAAAAUCCACCUUUCCCUUUGCUCUCUUCUUGUUCUUCAAUACUGAAGUUUGUCACCAGAUCCUUUGGUCUUUAUUAAUGGCUUCUAUAAAAUGUGUGUUCAUAUAUGUGUAAUAUAUCUUUUAAAAUAUUCUCAGUUGCCUAAAGAAUAGGACUUUAUAAUUAUCCCUGGCUUUAAUUAUAGGGCACUAUCAAAGGCUCGGGUUUUAGAUUCAUUUAUUCUUUCAACAAAUAUUUAUUUAGUUCCUGGAGAUAAAGCAGGUUCAAAGUCCUUUUUUCCUUGGCGCUUAAAUUCCAGUAGGGAGACAGAUCAUAGAUAAAAGAAUAAUAGCAAACAAAUAAAUUAUUUUGCAUUUUGAUGAGAGCUGUGAUGAAGAAAAGGGUUAUUGGAAUGGAAAGCGACUAAUGGCUGUGACAGUUGCUCUAGAAAGGCAGUUCAGGGAACUGAAGAGUGACAUUUGAACUUAAAGCAAAUGAUGAGGAGUCAGCCUGGUCAUUUUCUGGACGGUGGAAACAGCCAAGGUAAAGACAAGAAGGUCUGUAGCCUGUUCUAGAGGCCGAGUCCAAGCCAACAAGGAAGAGGGCAGGAGGUGAUUAUGACUGAGACAUAUUUCUCAUGUCAGUAUGUAACUUGUGACUCUAUAUUCUUUACUGUAAAACAGGAAAAAUAACAGCUCUUUCACUGGGUUGUAUAAGGAUUAAAUAUAAUCAAGGUUUAAAUAUUCAUCCGGUGGAGUCAUUUUGGGAUGAUGGAGGAAUUUCUUGGGAGAAAAUCCAUCCUGGAGUAAGGACGAACCAAACAUCUUUCAUCCAAUGACAAAUGCCUCCUUCACAGGAGAAGAGAGGGGUUUCUGAGCACACAGUGGGGGUCUGUCAAAUUCAGUCCCGUAUCCGAUUCAGGUCUGACCACUGUGGAACUAGGUGGAAUUAAGUUGCUCUUGGGUAAUAGGACCGAGUGAGCUGGAAGUAAAAAUUAUAAGUGCUGUUUGCUUUCACUUAAAACUCUUUGAGAUAUUGGAACACAGGCAAACACUUUUAGGGGUCCACAGGAGAAAGUACAGAUUUAACAGGUCUGGGGAGUCCUGUCUGUUUUCUGCAGAGAACACAGGCAGCUUUGGUGCUUUGGCAUAAGUGGUGACACACCUCACAUGAGAUGGCAGUUCUCAGGGAAGGAGUAGCACAGUCAAGUGGAUGAGAUGGUUCCUGGAGGAUGUGGCACCUCUCAUAAGAGGCUGCUGUAGUGCCUGCAAAGGAAGUGGCACCCAGAGGGAAUGGCGAUGCUUGGCUGAACCAACACGGGUGUCCACAGAGAGAUAGAGAUGCCUGGUGAUGCGAGAGCCACCGAAGAAGCAGUAUGGUACCCAGAAGACACUGUGUGACCUGGCAGGAGUGGCAAUAUCCAGCCUCACUGCUUGAUGUUGAGUCCCGACUAUCCUGGCAAAAGAGAAAAGCAGAGAUAC
This 2145-nucleotide long non-coding RNA is filed under the name Sus scrofa (pig). RNAcentral's name for it is "lncRNA (ENSSSCG00015047636.1)". The record is from RNAcentral. Lineage: Eukaryota; Metazoa; Chordata; Mammalia; Artiodactyla; Suidae.